UUCUUGUGUCACUGUAAUUUAUUUUUCAAGAUACUGUGAAAAUUAUAUUUGACAGUUUGACCAGAUGUGUCUUUAUCUACAUGUAUCAGCCUACCACCAUCAGCCCAAAGCCAUUAUACUGCGUAAGGGAAAAAAGCCUAACUUCUUGCUUGGCCUACAAAGCCCUUUAUGAUCUCACCUCUGCCUACCCGUCAUACCUCAUCUCCUGCUCCCCUUACCCCCACCACAUUCUAGCACCCUGGCCUCCUGUCUCUCCCUUGGUUUCCAGUAGAAUGAAAAUCACCAUGAAAAUGGUCAUAUUUUCUCUCUUAUAGACUCUUGUAUCCUGGCUCCCUAGAAUACCUGGCACACCAAAUAUUUUCAAGUGUAUGAAGUAGAUGAUUAUCAAUAUGCUUGUGUGAUGACUGUUUUCCACUGUCCUCCAUCCAAAUUCAUUCUCUAUUCUUCCUUCCCUUGCUGGACAUCUCAGGAGUUUUAGCAGUAGAGCUAUACUUCCAUGGGCAAAGUUCCUUCCUGCUUAUCAAGUUUCUAGCUCUUUACCAGCCCUCGUACUAGUUCCUGAUGCUCUGAGACUGGAUAGUCCCACAAUGGCUCUAGACUGUCUACAGAGUGGAGAGCCAGAGAAAACAGUAGCUACUCAAUCCAAGAAGCAGAACAGAAGGACAAAUGAUACAGCUCCAAUCUGAGGCUAAAGGCCUGAAAAGCCCCUUGAAGAAAAUCUAGGUUCAUGGGGUGAAAGAUCUGAAGUAUGAUAUUUGUAGGCAACAGUAGCAGAAAAAAACAAUACAUCCAUUGAAGAAAAGUUGAACAGGCUUCCUGUGACUGAUCUGGCUGAUUGUCUUAUCAGUUCAUGACAUUCUCAAGCCUGUGUUAGCAGUUUCAGAGGAACAAAAGUGGAAGUCUCUCAGAAGAUUUAUCUUCAGUUAAAAGAAAGGAAAGGAUAAAAGCCCAGGAAUAAUAAUAUCCUUACCUGCUAAAUCACCAAGCAAAAUCUUACUCAAUAAUUUCUUACUGGGAAUGUCUAUGAUCCCCGCAGUUUGAAGGACACGUUGGGGUGGGCCACCAAGAACCCAUCUUCCAUGAUAAGAAGGAAAAAAUAAUAACUAUAGCACAGAAUAUUAGGUAUAGUGACAGCACAGAAGGAAAGAAUGACUAAAUCUCUUUGGAAGUCAGAGGAAGCUUUGCAGCAUAGGUGAUAUUUGAGCUGGAUUUUGAAGGAUGAAUAAACUCUUAUUUAUAUCCUACUCAUUCCAAAAGGAUUUAAAGUGCCUUGCAGGAUCUGACUAGACAGUGGGGGAGUUGAAUAACCUUUCAGGCACAGAAAGUGCCAAAGAACAGAAUUGUGAAAGGGCACAAUGUGCUUGGGAAGUAGGAUAUUCUGGGGGAAGCAAGGCAGACAGUAUCAUUUAUCUGUACUGUCCUCUAGCACUGGUUUUCAAACUUGAGUGUGCCUCAGAAUCCCCCAGAGAGCUUUGAAAAGUACAGUUCACUUGGCCAUAUCCCCAGAGAUUUUGAUUCUGAAAGUCUAAGUUUGAUUCUGCUAGAGGUGGACAGGCAAGAAUUUACCUUCCUCACAAAUUCCCUGGUGAUAUUGGUAUAGCUGGUCUUGGAAUCAUACUUUAAGAACCACUUUUAGAUUUCUGGAUUUUGUUCCAUGGUCAGUUAGAAGACCUGGAAUUUUUAUAGUUUGAGAAAGAAAUAAAUAUAUUUGGAUUUAGAAAGCUUACAAAAAGAAGCUUUGAGGAGCAUUGGGGAUUGAAACAAGUUGGUAGAUUAUUUCACAUGUCCAAGAAACAGAGUAAAUGAGCCUGAACUCAUUUGUGCAAAAAUAAAACAGACUUGAAAAUUUCUAAAGCAUCAAGAUUACUUAGAAUUACUGGCAAUGGAGAACAAGUGAAGGGGAAGACAUUUGGCAUGUUAAAAUUAUGUCCAGGGAUGGGGUUGUACCUCAGAGGUAGAGUGCUUGCCUAUCAUAUGCAAAGCCCUGGGU
Heterocephalus glaber (naked mole-rat) is the source of this 1990-nucleotide non-coding RNA. NCBI's taxonomy places the organism in Eukaryota, Metazoa, Chordata, Mammalia, Rodentia, Bathyergidae. The record is from RefSeq and is a predicted model, not a curated record.